GAUGAACGCCGGCGGUGUGCCUAAUACAUGCAAGUCGUACGCACUGGCCCAACUAAUUGAUGGUGCUUGCACCUGAUUGACGAUGGGUCACCAGCGAGCGGCGGACGGGUGAGUAACACGUGGGUAACCUGCCCAAGAGACUGGGAUAACACCUGGAAACAGAUGCUAAUACCGGAUAACAACACUAGACGCAUGUCUAGAGUUUGAAAGAUGGUUCUGCUAUCACUCUUGGAUGGACCUGCGGUGCAUUAGCUAGUUGGUAAGGUAACGGCUUACCAAGGCAAUGAUGCAUAGCCGAGUUGAGAGACUGAUCGGCCACAUUGGGACUGAGACACGGCCCAG
RNAcentral lists this ribosomal RNA (342 nucleotides) under uncultured bacterium. RNAcentral describes it as "bacterial SSU rRNA". It matches the Rfam family "Bacterial small subunit ribosomal RNA", at positions 28 to 334 of the family's 1533-position model. The record is from RNAcentral.